RNAcentral lists this transfer RNA (72 nucleotides) under bovine gut metagenome. It matches the Rfam family "tRNA". From Rfam's summary of the family: Transfer RNA (tRNA) molecules are approximately 80 nucleotides in length. The record is from RNAcentral.
GAGGCUUAGCUCAGCUGGUCAGAGCGCUUGCUUGACAUGCAAGAGGUCACUGGUUCAAGUCCAGCAGUCUCC